ACUGGACUGGGCUUCAGUUCAGGGGAGGAGAGAGUGCCCAACAUGUGAUCUGGGAAUUGGGAAUUUCGGAACAAAAUCCCAGCUAAAUCUCUCUGUCAUGUCUUCAUUUUUUCCCCCUUUUCCUCUUCUCUCUUCUUGUUAAAACAACAUCUUUGAAGACUAAAACAAAUCAAUGGAGUGAUUUUGCUCCCUUGCCUUUCUCCUGACUUUCUGAAGAUCUUUUCCCCCUACCCCCAUCCAAAUAAUCCCUCCUCUUUCCUUUCCUCCUCUCUUCCCCCCCCCCCCCCCCCCAACUCCAAGUCAAGGGACCUUCUCAUGCUGUCUGUUCGUCCGUACCUGGACCAGGUGCUCCUGAAGGAAAAUAUGGAUAGCUUCUGUCUUGGCUUUGGACUGGAAAAUCUCAAGUAGUUUGCACUCUGGCAAGCCUGGAAGGAAAUUAUGUGCUGCUUAUGAAAAACAACAAAACCCACAUUGCCUGGUAAUGUGCAAGUACGGUUUAAUUGACUGUUGUUCUCAGUGGAAGGACCCAUGUUGUUUGGCUAAGAUCAGUUAGUAUUUGUUUCUCAGCCGCUAACUUCUUCUUCAGAAGGUUUCAAGAUUUUCAACAACUGUCCCCAACUCUCCCGACGUUCCCCCACUCCCAGCCUCCCCAGUGAUGACUCAGGUGUGCAAAAGAAAGUGCGUUGCCACAGAGCGAUGGGGAGUGGGUUAGGAGAGUGGGCGUGCUCGGGCAUGCUGGCCAGUUCCCAUCCUGGAUCCAGUUACACAGCAACAACCCAAGGAUUGGGUUAAAUUUUAACUUGUUUCCCAUGAUUUUUCUCUUGGCAUUUGAUGGCAGCUUGUCUCCUCUGGUUACACUGAGCACCCCCACCCUUCCAAAGUAGCUUCCAAGUAGAUGAAGAUGAUCCAGUCUUAUCCAGAGAGAACUGACUGGAUCCCAAGUGAGCUUUCCUUGGGGAUAUAGUCUUCAUGACUUCACUGUAAAGGGGACUAAAGAGUACAAUUAAUUUCCUAAGAGGUGUGCAGAGGGGGAGGAAGGGAGUAUAUUUAGAACUCUGGAAUAAUAAAAGGAAAUGAACCAUUGGCUGUCAGAGCUGGAAGGAACCUGAGGCCACCGAAUGUUAGGAGUUGGAACCGGAGACACUGUCUAAUGCAAAGCCCCUCACUUUAUGAAUGAGAUGGAAGGAAGUGAUCGUCCAAAGUUAUCCAGCUAAUGGCGGAACCAGAAUCAGAAACUAUGUCCAUGCCCUUCCCAUUUUAUGCUGCUCUCUGACUUUACAUAGGGGAGGAAAAACUUAGCUCAUGACCCUAAGAAGUUAAAAAAUUUAGCUUCAGGAUGUAGGCUUAUAUAGAUAGGUGUACAUUUAUAUAUAAACAUACACAUAUAUGCAUAUAUACAUAUAUAUUCCAUGAAUAUAUUUAUGGAUCAAUGAUGUAUCCAUAAUGCAUCAUUAAGAAAAGAUGAGAAUGUCUGCUGACCUCCUUAACCUAUGAGCCAACAUAAUGGGAAGGGCAGCUGGAUGUGCACCAUAGUGCACAGAGUUCUGGGCCUGGAGUCAGGAAAACUCUUCUUCCUGAGUUCAAAUCCAGCCUUAGACAUUUACUAGCUGUGGGAUCCUGGACAAGUCCCUUAAUUGUGUUUGCCUCAUCUGUGAAAUAAAUUGGAGAAGGAAAUGGUGAACUAUCCAAUAUCUUUACCAAAAAACACCAAAUGCAAUCAACAAAGAGUCAGACAUGAUUAAAAAAUGACUUAACAAUAAUGCAACUGGAAGGAGGAGGAGAGAGGACAACAUAUUCUUUUAAAUGAUCCCUUAAGACCUCCUUCAGGGAAAGGCUUUUGGAUUGAAGGGAUUGAUUGCCUGACUCAAUAGGACAUCUCUAAUGGGUUUACAUAUUAAGUGGAAAGUGUACUAUUUCACACAUAUAAUUAUAUACAUACAUAUGUACAUAUAUAUAUAUAUAUAUAUAUAUAUAUAUAUAUAUAUAAUAGCAGUGUGAUAUUGUGGAUAGGGAGCUGCUUAUAGUCAGUGAAACCUAUAUUCUAGUUCUAUUCCUGGCAGAGUCGCUAAGUGACACUGAGCAAGUUAUUUAAUGUCUUUCAACCUCAGUUUCCUUUUCUGUAAAACAAGGAUAAUAAUAGCAGCUGGCUGACAAACUUCCUAUUUGAUGUGAAGAUCAAAUGAGAUGCAUGUAAAAGUUCUUCGGAAAUGUUAAAGAGCUACAUAAAUAGCUAUCAUUAUUAUCAUCAUCAUCAUUAACUUUUGUCUCAGGGAACUCUCUAAGACAAGAAUUCUUAAAGAUCUUUAGGAUCUGAGAUCUCCAAAGAGUCUGUGAAUAGAUUUGGAGGAACAGGGGAACAGUCUGUGAAUCUCAGUGAGAAAAAAGUACAACUUUAUUUCAAUAGAAUUCAUUUCCUUUGUGUCCUAUAUGUUUUAUUUUCUGCAAUUAGAAACGUUAUUCUCCAAAAGGGGUCCAGACUGACAAAUAGCACAAUAUAAGUGAAGAGCCUCCACUCUCAGGCUAUACAUUGCAGAGCAGUUGCCAAUUUGUUUCAGUAGGGGAGGUUUCUCACUAGGAGCUUUUUAUAUUGAUGAAAUCAUAAAAGUUUGACCUAAAUAAAUGAAUAAAUGAAUGAACAAACGAAAGCAUAUCGUGGGGGAAAUAAAGGUAGAUAUUGAAAAGGAAUAUUUAGAAUAUGAAACAUACUAGCAAAAGUCAGUUCAGUGUGGAGCUGAGGAGAGUGUGGUGGAUUUUAAAGUAAGAGGAGCUGUGUUCAGUCUCUGGCUCCGAUACCUAUUCCUGUGUGUCCCUCUCUCUGGUUGGAUUCAAUUACCUCUCAGGUCCCUUCUGGCCCAAAGCAAGGAUCCUACUAUCCCUGAAGAUCCGCAGUGCUACAGCUUUCAGGACCUUGGUCUUCUUGUAGGAUACUGAACAGCCAUAAUUGGGGCCCCCAUCCUGCAGAGGAGGAGCAGCAGCAGGCAGCUGAGGAGUCCUACCUAACACUGAAUCUCUUGGAAAAAAGGAAUCCCAAAGAUAAGGAACUUUACUGGUUUGUUUAUUUUCCUCCUCUCCUUCCUAUUGGAGAGGCUAGAAAUGUGCAAAUGUCCUGAUCAAAGGAUAUGGCUCCUGUUGUGUUAAAGGCAGGGUUAACCUCCCAAUGCCUUCUAGUUGAUGCUAAAAAUUCAGACAGCCUGUCACAGUGACUUAAAUCCAUCUUAAUGAAAUAGUCCUUUGUCUUUUGGGCUAGGAAGGGCUGCAAACCCAGUUAGAGUCUUUAAAAAAAGUACUCACCACCACAAUCUCUCAGUCAGCUCAGAUUUUAAGAUUACCAAAUUAUCCAGGCAACUUUCCUGUUUGAGAAAUUGGAUUUUUUUUUUCAGUUACUUUGAGCUGUUAGCUCUGUAAUGCAAUCUCCAUGUGCUUCCCUCUUGAAAUAAAAAUAUUUUCAAAAACCUUUCCCCAAUCCUUUCUUACCAACCCUUCCCCCCUUCUCCUUCCUCCCUCCCCAACAUC
This 3513-nucleotide long non-coding RNA is filed under the name Sarcophilus harrisii (Tasmanian devil). Its description in RNAcentral is "lncRNA (ENSSHAG00000030989.1)". Lineage: Eukaryota; Metazoa; Chordata; Mammalia; Dasyuromorphia; Dasyuridae. The record is from RNAcentral.